Lynx canadensis (Canada lynx) is the source of this 639-nucleotide long non-coding RNA. RefSeq lists it as uncharacterized. NCBI's taxonomy places the organism in Eukaryota, Metazoa, Chordata, Mammalia, Carnivora, Felidae. The record is from RefSeq and is a predicted model, not a curated record. The transcript has 3 exons.
UUUCAGAGCUUGGGCCAAUAUUCCAGCGUCCUAAAUGUGUCAGGGAAACCGCCAGAAGCGGCGGAGCCGACAGCACGGUGCCGACGAGGACCACAGGCAGCUGAAGAAAUGGAAGUUCUGAGGAACUAAGGGGCUUCCCUGAUGCUUGCAGAUGAGGCAAGGACGGAUGGAGAAUCGGGCUUUGGACGCCACAGUGAUACCCCACGUGCACCUCUCCUGGGUGACAGUGGACUUUGGUAACGCCCAGCGCUGCCCAGACAGAGCACCGCUGACCACGGAGACACCAACACACGAUCAUCGAAACUUGGUUCUACCGUGGCUCGCUCUGCCCGCGUUCUGGAGAGAGGCUGUCUUGCAGGACUCAGAGAUGACAGAGGGACAUUGAGGCCAAGUUCUGAGAGUGGCCCGUUCCAAGGAAUGGGACGUGGAACUAUCGUCCACCCAGGUGCUCAAGCCACAAACCGAGGGGUCAGCCUUAAUCUCUCUUUCUGUCACCCGCCACGUGCAACCGACUCCACACCCAGUCCACAUCCCAAACCCAUCUGCGGCUUCCGUUGUCGCCACUUCUAUGGUGGUUGGAGACACCACGCAGUAGGCCUCGGACAAGAUUCCCCGUUUCCACUCUUGUUCCUUUAGAGA